This 115-nucleotide ribosomal RNA is filed under the name Streptococcus pneumoniae. The record is from RNAcentral. Lineage: Bacteria; Bacillati; Bacillota; Bacilli; Lactobacillales; Streptococcaceae.
AGUGACGAUAGCCUAGGAGAUACACCUGUACCCCAUGCCGAACACAGAAGUUAAGCCCUAGAACGCCGGAAGUAGUUGGGGGUUGCCCCCUGUGAGAUAGGGAAGUCGCUUAGCU